UCCGGUUGAUCCUGCCGGAGGCGACUGCUAUUGGGGUUCGGCUUAGGCAUGCAAGUCGUGCGAUACAGCGGCACACGGCUCCGUAACACGUGGAUAACCUACCCACAGGAAAGGGAUAACCCUGGGAAACUGGGGCUAAUACCUUAUAGGCAAGGAAAGCUGGAAGGCUUUCUUGCUCAAAGGGCCACCGCCCGUGGAUGGGUCCGCGCCUGAUUAGGCUGUUGAUAGGGUAAAGGCCUACCAAACCUGUGAUCAGUACGGGCAAUGAGAGUUGGUGCCUGGAGAUGGGGACUGAGACAAGGCCCCAUGCCCUACGGGGCGCAGCAGCUACGAAAACUUUGCAAUGCCCGAAAGGGUGACAAGGGGACCCCAAGUGCUUCCGUUUUACGGAAGCUUUUCUCUGGCUUAAGGAACCAGGGGAAUAAGAGCUGGGUAAGACCGGUGCCAGCCGCCGCGGUAACACCGGCAGCUCGAAUGGUUGCCGCGUUUAUUGGACCUAAAGCGUUCGUAGCCGGACAUGUAAGUCUCCAGGUAAAUUGCGCGUUUAAUCGUGCGAAUUCUGGAGAAAACUGCCUGUCUUGAGGCCGGGAGAGGUGAGAGGUACUCCGAGGGUAGCGGUAAAAUGCUAUAAUCCUCGGGGGACCACCGGUGGCGAAGGCGUCUCACUGGAACGGCCCUGACGGUGAGUAACGAAACCUAGGGGAGCGAGCCGGAUUAGAUACCCGGGUAGUCCUAGGCGUAAAUUAUGCGGAUAAAGUGUGGCGUUAUCUACGAGAUAACGCUGUGCCGUAGGGAAGCCGUUAAGUCCGCCGUCUGGGGAGUACGGUCGCAAGGCUGAAACUUAAAGGAAUUGGCGGGGGAGCACCACAAGGGGUGGAGGCUGCGGUUUAAUUGAUCAACGCCGGACAACUCACCGGGGGCGACAGCAGAAUGAGGGUCAAGCUGAUGACUUUGCCUGACAAGCUGAGAGGAGGUGCAUGGCCGCCGACAGUUCGUACCGUGAGGUGUCCUGUUAAGUCAGGUAACGAACGAGACCCCUGCCCGCAGUUACCAGCAGAUGCUCUGGCAUGAUGGGGACUCUGCGGGGACCGCUUUUGCUAAAAAAGAGGAAGGAGGGGGCAACGGUAGGUCAGUAUGCCCCGAAUCUCCCGGGCUACACGCGGCCUACAAUGGGUGCGACAAUGAGUUCCGACCCCGAGAGGGGAAGGUAAUCCCCUAAACGCACUCUUAGUACGGAUCGAGGGCUGAAACCCGCCCUCGUGAAGCUGGAAUCCCUAGUAAUCGCGUGUCAUUAUCGCGCGGUGAAUACGUCCCUGCUCCUUGCACACACCGCCCGUCAAAUCACCUGAGUGGGGCUUGGGUGAGAGCCUGAAUAAACAGGUUCGAAUCUGAGUUCCGCAAGGGGGGUUAAGUCGUAACAAGGUA
RNAcentral lists this ribosomal RNA (1425 nucleotides) under metagenome. RNAcentral's name for it is "bacterial SSU rRNA". It matches the Rfam family "Archaeal small subunit ribosomal RNA". The record is from RNAcentral.